ACACGCUGGCGGCGUGCCUAAUACAUGCAAGUCGAACGAACUGUGGAAAGCUUGCUUUUCAGAGUUAGUGGCGAACGGGUGAGUAACACGUAAGUAACCUAGCUAUUAGACGAGGAUAACUACUGGAAACGGUAGCUAAGACUGGAUAUGAUAGAAAUAUUUAAAGGAUGCUAAGGCAUCGCUAAUAGAGGGGCUUGCGGCGCAUUAGCUAGUUGGUAGGGUAAAAGCCAACCAAGGCGAUGAUGCGUAGCCGACCUGAGAGGGUGACCGGCCACACUGGGACUGAGACACGGCCCAGACUCCUACGGGAGGCAGCAGUAGGGAAUCUUCGGCAAUGGACGAAAGUCUGACCGAGCAACGCCGCGUGAGUGAAGAAAGUUUUCGGAUUGUAAAGCUCUGUUAUUAGGGAAGAAAGGCUCUAGGAGGAAAUGCUUAGGGAUUGACGGUACCUAAUGAGGAAGCCACGGCUAACUACGUGCCAGCAGCGGC
This 489-nucleotide ribosomal RNA is filed under the name uncultured bacterium. RNAcentral's name for it is "bacterial SSU rRNA". It matches the Rfam family "Bacterial small subunit ribosomal RNA", at positions 33 to 518 of the family's 1533-position model. The record is from RNAcentral.